Molecule: small RNA, 1033 nt
Filed under: Arabidopsis thaliana (thale cress)
Lineage: Eukaryota; Viridiplantae; Streptophyta; Magnoliopsida; Brassicales; Brassicaceae
Description: ATSL205020
Source: RNAcentral
CAUUCUUUAUUAGUAGUAACAUAUAUAACUGAAUCUAAAUUUGAAUAACAGAUAUCUCUCACUUGAAUUUGUUUUUCAGCUUGUAAAGAGACAUAGUUUUCAGUAUUGAACUCAACUUGAGCUAGGUGCCACAAAUGAGCCUCUUUUUCUGCUAGACAUAACACAUAUAACUGAUCUUUCUCGACAUUUUCAAAUAUGUUUUCAUUACUUGCUUUCCAAAUAUACCAAAUUAUCCAUGGAUAUGCGAAUGAAUCAAAUUCUAAAGGGAUUCUUGAGAAUAAGUGAUCCAAAUUUGCAUAAAUAGAAUACGUGGGAAAAAUCCCUGGGACCAUAGGGAUCUUUGGUUAAGCUAGCAAUGGUUGUUUGGUAUGUAAUGUUUCAUAGUUUUUCUUUAUUUGUUGAAGAAAAACAAAAUCCUUUAUUUUAUUAUUUUGAAUGUGUGCAACUAAUCUUCUAUCUCAUAUUUUGAUCAAAUUCUAAUAAACAAUUAGAAUUGUUUUAAACUCUUUUAGGACAUAUAAAUCCCAAAAAGUUUUCUUUUUUCGGUAAAGGAAGGCGACAUUGUCCCCUACUAUUUAUUCGAACAAAAUAAAACAAAAACUAAUUUCAAAAACUACGUGAAAACAGAGUUCCACUUGUGUCCUUUAAUAUCACCGAGCUAACACUCUCUAGACAACGAUCAAAAGAAUGAGGGUCUACUGCCAACGAAAAAGCAUAGUUUGCUAACUCAUCUGCAAGACGAUUAACUUUCCUAUACAUAUGAGUAACUCGGACUAUCCAAUCCUUUAUGAUAAAUCUUAAGAAAUUGAUUAUAUAAAAAAAACAUAUAAACUAAGGUUGCUGAAUUGUUUUAACCUCUUUUAAUUAAUUAUUGAACUGUCGAUUUGACCUCCUAAACACCCUAUCUACAGCUCUCUUUUUUUGUUAAGAAGAAAGGUAUAAAAGAAUAUAUUCUAAAAGUUCAUGUAACGAUAAUAUAUAAAGGGUUCUGGAGUUUGGUGUGAUUACCAAAGGAAAUAUAUAUAUAUAUAUA